RNAcentral lists this ribosomal RNA (482 nucleotides) under uncultured bacterium. RNAcentral describes it as "partial 16S ribosomal RNA". It matches the Rfam family "Bacterial small subunit ribosomal RNA", at positions 30 to 507 of the family's 1533-position model. The record is from RNAcentral.
AUUGAACGCUGGCGGCAUGCUUUACACAUGCAAGUCGAACGGUAACAGGCCGCAAGGUGCUGACGAGUGGCGAACGGGUGAGUAAUGCAUCGGAACGUGCCCAGUCGUGGGGGAUAACUACUCGAAAGAGUAGCUAAUACCGCAUACGAUCUAUGAAUGAAAGCGGGGGACCGUAAGGCCUCGCGCGAUUGGAGCGGCCGAUGUCAGCUUAGGUAGUUGGUGGGGUAAAGGCUCACCAAGCCAACGAUCUGUAGCUGGUCUGAGAGGACGACCAGCCACACUGGAACUGAGACACGGCCCAGACUCCUACGGGAGGCAGCAGUGGGGAAUGUUGGACAAUGGGCGCAAGCCUGAUCCAGCAAUGCCGCGUGCAGGAAGAAGGCCUUCGGGUUGUAAACUGCUUUUGUACGGAACGAAACGGCUCUGGUUAAUACCCGGGGCUAAUGACGGUACCGGAAGAAUAAGCACCGGCUAACUACGUG